GUCCUGGCAGUAAACGGUGCACGUUUGGUGUGGGAGGAUUCGACCCCUUCCGUGCCGGAGCUAACGCGUUAAACGUGCCGCCUGGGAAGUACGGUCGCAAGAUUAAAACUCAAAGAAAUUGACGGGGCCCGCACAAGCGGUGGAGUAUGUGGCUUAAUUCGAUGCAACGCGAAGAACCUUACCAGGGUUUGACAUGCAUCUCUAAGGCGGUGAAAGCCGCCGAGUGUAGCAAUACACAAUUUGCACAGGUGCUGCAUGGCUGUCGU
Molecule: ribosomal RNA, 266 nt
Filed under: uncultured bacterium
Lineage: Bacteria
Description: partial 16S ribosomal RNA
Rfam family: Bacterial small subunit ribosomal RNA
Source: RNAcentral